GCGAAAGCGUGGGGAGCAAACGGGAUUAGAUACCCCGGUAGUCACGCCGUAAACGAUGUCUACUAGCCGUUGGAGGACUUGAUCCUUUAGUGGCGCAGCUAACGCGAUAAGUAGACCGCCUGGGGAGUACGGUCGCAAGAUUAAAACUCAAAUGAAUUGACGGGGGCCCGCACAAGCGGUGGAGCAUGUGGUUUAAUUCGAAGCAACGCGAAGAACCUUACCUACUCUUGACAUCCAGUGAACUUUUGAGAGAUCAAUUGGUGCCUUCGGGAACACUGAGACAGGUGCUGCAUGGCUGUCGUCAGCUCGUGUUGUGAAAUGUUGGGUUAAGUCCCGUAACGAGCGCAACCCUUGUCCUUAGUUACCAUCAUUAAGUUGGGGACUCUAAGGAGACUGCCGGUGACAAACCGGAGGAAGGCGGGGACGACGUCAAGUCAUCAUGGCCCUUACGAGUAGGGCUACACACGUGCUACAAUGGCAUGUACAAAGGGUUGCCAAGCCGCGAGGUGGAGCUAAUCCCAUAAAGCAUGUCGUAGUCCGGAUUGGAGUCUGCAACUCGACUCCAUGAAGUCGGAAUCGCUAGUAAUCGUGAAUCAGAAUGUCACGGUGAAUACGUUCCCGGGCCUUGUACACACCGCCCGUCACACCAUGGGAGUGGGUUGCUCCAGAAGUAGAUAGCUUAACCUUCGGGAGGGCGUUUACCACGGAGUGAUUCAUGACUGGGGUGAAGUCGUAACAAGGUAACCGUA
Molecule: ribosomal RNA, 749 nt
Filed under: uncultured bacterium
Lineage: Bacteria
Description: bacterial SSU rRNA
Rfam family: Bacterial small subunit ribosomal RNA
Source: RNAcentral